GAGUUAAAAUUGUAUAUGUGCAGGUGUAAAAAGUUAAGCUUAAGCUUACAGGUUUAAACCUUGCUGGUACAGCUGUAAAAAAAAUAAGACAGAGUAGCACCUUGGCAGUAGGGACUCCAUUUUGGAGCACUUGAGACUGCAUUCUGGGAAAGCACCCCCCCACUGUGAGACUCUGGUCUGAAACUAUGAUCUCAAAUAGUCGGACAAUAGCAGUGCACUACAUCACCCUUGGCAAUGCACAAAAACCCCCUAGCAUGACUGCUCAAGCUUAAAAGUAGAAAGGUUGCACCUGGGUUACCUGGGCUAAUAAUAAAGAUGUGAUUUGUCUGUGUCUUACAUUAAUGUCAAGUCCUAAUUGCUAAUUGUAAUAUUGUAACUGGUAUUGUCAAGAUUAUGAUAAAUAUUAAUUUCAAUUAGGUUUUAGGUUAUGUUGACCCCAGUAACCAUAUACUCUUUUGAUUUUAUGUACUCUCUUUUGAUUUUAGCAACUGUGUAUAGCAACCGUGCAUAGCAACCGUGUAUUCCCCCCUUCCCAGUUUUGCGGUUUUUGCCUUUAUAAAUCCUAACCUUUGGUUAUUCGGGGCUGCUCUGUUCAUGUAUGGUCAGACAGCCCCAGCAUGCUGGAUAAUCAAUAAAGCUUCCCCUUGCUGUUUGCAUAAGAGAUGUCUCUUGGUGACGUUUUUCGGGCAGUGGACUCUAACAUUUGGAGGCCCCAGCGAGAUCUGACUGCUGCCUGCGGACGUCUCCAACAGAUAUCUCUCGGGGUAAGUUGCAGGCGCCUAUUUGUGUUGUCGGCCGGCUUAUUUGUGGUUUGUGUCUCUUCAUUCUGGAUUUUGGUAGUUUGUGAGCGCUCUAGGGUUUUGGGAACUGUGCUGGUGUAGUAGCUGCUGGGACAGGGCGUGAGCCCUUCCUGGCUGUGGCCGGCAGACGUGCCCGGGGGCCACAGGCUACGGCCCUGAGGGACGCCUCAGGAGGACAAAGGAAGGCUGGGGACGCCCAGAUACUUCCGACGGGGCAGGCGUGGAGUCUGCAUUCCCAGCACAGACGGGGUGGCCGGUAAGGCCUUCUUAUUAUUAGUCUUUUGUAGUUGUAAGGUGCUUUCUUGGUUGUCUUGUUGUUUGUUGAUUGUAUUCUCUUGUCAUUUAGCAUUGUAUGGGGCGCUGUGAUGGCUCCCAUUUGGUAGAUUUGGAAUCUGCAUUUGUAUUGCCAGCAUGGUCGCGUGACUCUGAAGUGGUUCUGGAGUCUGCAUUUGUAGGUUCUGAAGUGGUUCCGGAGCUUGCAUUUGUAUUACCGGCAUCCUCACAGGGCUCUGAGGCGGUUCCAGAGUCUGUGUUUGUAUUGCCAGCAUCAUCGCGACCAGUAGUUUAUCUCAAUUCCUUUAUGGACACUUUGUGUGGUUGUUGUGUGCUGAUUCUCUACACUGUUUGUCUGUUCGUGUACAUUGUGUUGUCUGCUAACAUGGGCCAGACUGUGUCUACACCUUUGUCUCUAACUUUGAAUCAUUGGUAGUAGGUAAGCGACCGGGCACAUAACCUCUUUGUCAGUCAAGAAGGUAAAGUGACAGUCUUUCUGUGCCUCUGAAUGGCCAGCUCUCGGAGUGGAUUGGCCCCCUGGAGGGCUCUCCAUUUACCACUCAUUCGCCAAGUGAAAGAGGCCGUUCUCCUGCCUGGCCGUCAUGGGCACCCAGACCGGGAUUUUGAGAAAACAUCGGAGAAGGGAAGUUACUACUGUUCUGCAGGACUCUCCACUGUGAUGUACGGUUUGAUCCCCAGACCUUAUGUAAGGGAUGACUGACCUUUUCUGUAAUAAUGCCUGGCCACAGUAUAGGGCCCCAAACAACAACAACAACAACAACAAAGGUUAAACUAUAAAAUAAUGUGACAACUAAAUCAAUUUUUGGGUGUAAAAAGUAUGCAAGCAGGUCACCACAGUUGAUCUUACCUAAAGGGUCAUAGUUCUCCUCAUGGGCACAGUCUUAACUCGCAGGAAAAUACUAAGUGUCAGAAUUUGCCCAUGACCAUAAUUUUUCUAGCUUACCCUGAUAUUAAAAAAUCUCCAAAAAUCAGGGUGGGUUGGGCACCCCCUUGAUUUGCAUCAUAGAGGCUGCCUCCAGGGUCCACUUUAUUAGAGACAAAGGGAAUGAGGAGCAAGCUAGCAGCAGGAGCAAUGUAGGGAUGGGCAACAGGCCAAUCAAUGGCUGCUUUACACAGUGAUCUGCCGUCAAGGAGACCCAGCAAGGCCAGUGCACCCCAAACCUGUGCACCUGUUGCUGAUAUAAGGAGCCAGGGCAUUGGGCAAGCAGCUGUCGUGACAGCAAAUGCCUUCUGUCAGCCCUGCCAAGAGCACAGCCACUGGACACGGAACUGCCCUGGGUGUCGAAGGACUCCUGGUUCAGAACCGCUGACCCUGUGGCCCCGAGCUAAAAAGCCUUUGGCUCUGUCCAGCCUCUGCCCAGCUUCCAGCUCCAGCCACUGCUAUUGAGGGGAUGGCCUAGGGUCAGUGAAAUGCAAGUUGCCUAUUUCCAUCAGCCUCCUAUUCAGCUCUCCUCCUAGUCCAGCCAUGUAAUGCAAGUCAACAGGGUGCCUCCCUUAAAGGAGAUUUGCAUCUCUUUCAAUUCUCUUCCAGCACCCCGUGGAUAGGUCUGCGCCUCUCAUACCCAGCCAGGCCUUCAAAGUCUAUCCAAUAACAUUAAGCUUAGAAAGCCCUCCCUGCCAGUUCCUAAAAACAGGGCUUUCAGUAACAGCUAACUCAGAUAGCCCUACACCGAUUUGGACAGGUCCUCACUGAGAACUUAAAGGGCCUAUCUCUUGAGGGGGGGUGCACAAUAAUCCAUAAUAUAAAUGGUUAAAUGUAAAUAAUUCAUUAGUCUGUCCUUUUCCCAGCCUGAGACUCUAGUCUUGUACAUUGGCUUAACUUCCUAGCAAAACUGGCUACUAAAUAAAAAAAAAAAAAAUUGUCUCUGGGUCAAUCAGACUAGACAGGCACAAACCCAAAUUUGUACUUUUCCUGGAAAAAGCCAAACAGCUCCAGGAUCAGGCCAAGCAGGGCUGGGAUUUCUGGCCUGCCAUCUGGUCAUGGAAAUCCUGGCUAUUUCCUCUCCUUGGCCCACUAACUUCUGCAAUCUUGAUGCUUCUCUUUGCACCGUGUGUUUUUAAUGCCCUUGUUCGUUUUGUCUCUAACAGACUAAAAGCUGUUGAACUCCAAAUGGUCAUCAGGCAAGACUUCCAGCCCAUUCCACUGGACGACUUGAGCAGCCUUCUGGACCGAGCAACACAGUCUUUCCAAGGCCACUGUUGCACACCAUAAGACAGGUAGCAAGAGGAAAUACCCAAAUCCCCUCGACGCCCACAUGCCAGCUUCGAAGAAGUUACAGAAAACGGAACUCCAUCCAUAAUCCCAAAGAAGAAUUUUGGGUAUUGCCUCUUGAGGGGAAAAUAUUAGGCAGAAAGUCAGUUAUGAGCUUAUGUGUGUGUGACAUAAAGGCCUAAUGUGUCCAGCAUAUGCAUCUGUAUCUCAGUCAUCCUGACAAUGUUUCACAGGCAGCCUGGCCUUCGCAUCCUGCCCUGCCCCCUUCUACCUGAUAACCUGCCAGGUGGAGGUCCCCGCCCCUUCUGCCUGAGAAAUCUUCCACAAUCUCCCAGAUGCAGCCCAGUAUCUGCAUUUCAGUAUUACAAAACAGGUGGGGGUUAAAUCUCAUUUUCAUGGUGGGGGGGUUAUGCACGGCCCUAAAAAAAAAAAAAAAAAAUAUUGUUUUUAUGCUGACUGAACCGGGGUGGUUAGAAACUCCAUGGCCAAACUCAAAAAACGACUGGAAAAAUGGCAACGGGAAAGGAAAACUCAACAGGGAUGGUUUGAGUCAUGGUUCUGCCGGUCCCCAUGGCUUACUACUCUACUGUCAGCCCUAACAGGACCCUUAAUUGUUCUAUUCCUAAUUGUAACCAUAGGACCUUGUGUGUUAAAUAGACUCAUCACCUUCGUGCGGAAACAAGUUAAAAAUGUUAAACACAUGGUCAUAAGACAACAAUAUGUCACAUUAAAAGAUACAAAAACAAAUCUCUAAGAUUAGAGAUCCUCACAACAAGGAGUGGGGAAUGAAGAGUUAAAAUUGUAUAUGUGCAGGUGUAAAAAGUUAAGCUUAAGCUUACAGGUUUAAACCUUGCUGGUACAGCUGUAAAAAAAAUAAGACAGAGUAGCACCUUGGCAGUAGGGACUCCAUUUUGGAGCACUUGAGACUGCAUUCUGGGAAAGCACCCCCCCACUGUGAGACUCUGGUCUGAAACUAUGAUCUCAAAUAGUCGGACAAUAGCAGUGCACUACAUCACCCUUGGCAAUGCACAAAAACCCCCUAGCAUGACUGCUCAAGCUUAAAAGUAGAAAGGUUGCACCUGGGUUACCUGGGCUAAUAAUAAAGAUGUGAUUUGUCUGUGUCUUACAUUAAUGUCAAGUCCUAAUUGCUAAUUGUAAUAUUGUAACUGGUAUUGUCAAGAUUAUGAUAAAUAUUAAUUUCAAUUAGGUUUUAGGUUAUGUUGACCCCAGUAACCAUAUACUCUUUUGAUUUUAUGUACUCUCUUUUGAUUUUAGCAACUGUGUAUAGCAACCGUGCAUAGCAACCGUGUAUUCCCCCCUUCCCAGUUUUGCGGUUUUUGCCUUUAUAAACCCUAACCUUUGGUUAUUCGGGGCUGCUCUGUUCAUGUAUGGUCAGACAGCCCCAGCAUGCUGGAUAAUCAAUAAAGCUUCCCCUUGCUGUUUGCAUAAG
Molecule: non-coding RNA, 4756 nt
Organism: Oryctolagus cuniculus (rabbit)
Lineage: Eukaryota; Metazoa; Chordata; Mammalia; Lagomorpha; Leporidae
Source: RefSeq, a predicted model, not a curated record